CGGCGAGUGAAGCGGCAACAGCUCAAAUUUGAAAGCUGGCCCUUUUAGGGUCCGCGUUGUAAUUUGUAGAGGAUGAUUCGGCGAGGGCUCCUGCCUAAGUCCCCUGGAACGGGGCGUCAUAGAGGGUGAGAAUCCCGUAUGCGGUAGGUUGCCUUAGCCGUGUGAAUCUCCUUCGACGAGUCGAGUUGUUUGGGAAUGCAGCUCUAAAUGGGAGGUAAAUUUCUUCUAAAGCUAAAUACCGGCCAGAGACCGAUAGCGCACAAGUAGAGUGAUCGAAAGAUGAAAAGCACUUUGGAAAGAGAGUUAAAAAGUACGUGAAAUUGUUGAAAGGGAAGCGCUUGCAACCAGACUUGUCCGCAGUUGCUCAGCCGGUCUCCUGACCGGCGUACUCUUCUGCGGCCAGGCCAGCAUCAGUUCGGGCGGUCGGAUAAAGGCCUCGGGAAUGUAGCUCCUCUCGGGGAGUGUUAUAGCCCGGGGUGGAAUGCGGCCAGCCUGGACUGAGGAUCUCGCUUCGGCAAGGAUGCUGGCGUAAUGGUUGUAAGCGGCCCGUCUUGAAACACGGACCAAGGAGUCUAACAUCUAUGCGAGUGUUCGGGUGUCAAACCCGUACGCGUAAUGAAAGUGAACGGAGGUGGGAACCCGCAAGGGUGCACCAUCGGCCGAUCCUGAUGUCUUCGGAUGGAUUUGAGCAAGAGCAUAGCUGUUGGGACCCGAAAGAUGGUGAACUAUGCCUGAAUAGGGUGAAGCCAGAGGAAACUCUGGUGGAGGCUCGCAGCGGUUCUGACGUGCAAAUCGAUCGUCAAAUUUGGGUAUAGGGGCGAAAGACUAAUCGAACCAUCU
Molecule: ribosomal RNA, 840 nt
Filed under: Lasiodiplodia vitis
Lineage: Eukaryota; Fungi; Ascomycota; Dothideomycetes; Botryosphaeriales; Botryosphaeriaceae
Description: eukaryotic LSU rRNA
Rfam family: Eukaryotic large subunit ribosomal RNA
Source: RNAcentral